RNAcentral lists this ribosomal RNA (467 nucleotides) under uncultured bacterium. RNAcentral's name for it is "partial 16S ribosomal RNA". It matches the Rfam family "Bacterial small subunit ribosomal RNA", at positions 28 to 507 of the family's 1533-position model. The record is from RNAcentral.
GACGAACGCUGGCGGCGUGCUUAACACAUGCAAGUCGAACGGAAAGGCCUCGUUCGGGGGGUACUCGCGUGGCGAACGGGUGGGUAACUCGUGCGUAACCUGCCCUUGUCUUUGGCAUAAAUUCCGGCAACAAGGGCUAGUUCCGGCUAGGUACUCCUUCUACCUGGUGGGGGUUGGAAAGUUUCGGCGGUUGGGGGUGGACUGGCGGGUUAUCCGCUUGGUGGUGGGGUAGUGGGUUACCAAGGCUUUGCCGGGUAGCCGGACUGAGAGGGUGACCGGCGACACUGGGACUGAGAGACGGCCCAGACUCCGACGGGUGGGCGCAGUGGGGAAGAUUGCACAAUGGGUGGAAGGCGGAUGCAGCAAGGCCGCGGGCGGGAUGACGGUGUUCGGGGUGUAAAACGAUUGCGCACAUGACGAAGCUUUGUGUGACGGUAGUGGGUAAAGAAGCACCGGCUAACUACGUG